Patella vulgata (common limpet) is the source of this 1564-nucleotide long non-coding RNA. RefSeq lists it as uncharacterized. The record is from RefSeq and is a predicted model, not a curated record. NCBI's taxonomy places the organism in Eukaryota, Metazoa, Mollusca, Gastropoda, Patellidae. The transcript is spliced from 4 exons.
UUUUACAUUUUAAGGUUGUGCACAGAAAGUAAUAGAAUGCGGUGAGCUUGCACCUGGAAUCGGGACAAUUAUUAGACCUCAAGAUAUUACGGAUCUGUCAGCUUUACAAGGUCUAUCUUCCACUAUAUGUCCUGUCGUACCUAAACUUCAGAUAUGCUACAGUGAAUUGGAUGUAAUGUGCCCAAAUUAUAUGGCUGAAAAUGUCACAAACUUCUUAGAUGUUGUCAAAACACAGAUUUGUGGGAAUGAUUCAGGAGGAGGCGAGACUACCAGUGAUAAUUCGGCUUUACCAGUGAUAUUUAGUUCAGUGUUGAUAUUUGUAUCAUUAGCUACUAUCCUCCUAUAAAAUAGCCACGUAUACAAACAGAAAAGAGUAUAUUAAAGGUACAGAAUAACGUCACAAACACCAAUCAAUAUUACACAAUAGAGACAGUAGAUAACACACAGUAUAUUACAAGUGCAUAACGUCACAAACACCACAUAAAUAUCACACAAUAGAGACAGUAGAUCACAAAUAAAACAGUAUAUUAAAAGUAAAAGUCCAGAAUAAUGUCACAAGCCCCAUCGGAAAUACCACACAAUAGAAACAGUAGACUUGUGGUCGACGUUCCUAGAGAAGAUCAUGUUCCUGAAGCAACGACCGUGAGUUUUACAACAUCUAGACGUUGCUACAUUGUUUUGCAAUUUCCGAACUUAUAUCUACGUUAUCUCCCUUUACUGCAGACACGUGAACAGUAUUAUUCAAUCAGAGGUUGUGACACACACACACACUCAAAUCAAACAUGGCGAGCUCCUUGGAAAACCUUAACAUUGAACGAACCUUGAACUUUGCAACUCGAUUAUCACAGGUAGACAUUUUAGCUGGAAAGCUUGAGACUUGGUAUUUGCGAUGAUCGAGGAAUCUGAUAGGCUCUCAAGCUGGGUCAGUACCCAAUCGAAAUCAGUGCCGCAAUAUGCAGGGUAUUACGUGCAGGGCCUGAUUAGAUGUACGGUGUUAAAGCCUUUAUAUAAUUGAAGAUGAGAGAAGAUAUUACCAUGAGAUUAUCACUGACCAAACUGUAACGAUUAUUGUAGAGUUGUAGUACCUUAGUUCUUUGACGUCUGCUUCCACCAUAGCGAUAUUACAGACAAGAUCUAGGAGAGCCGAAUUGGAUUGUCGCACGUGCCUCCAUAUUAAGACUCCAAACUACCGACGGAACCAUCAGUGUAAUACCAAGAAUUUGAUAAACAUUUGGCAGAGGAAAAAUAGAAACAAGACUUUUAUUGGCUAACUUAAGCUGUCAAUCAAAUCACCACCUGUUUAAACAGGCGUAAAUCCAAAUAAAUUAAAGGGGUCAUUUUAGUGUUAAAUAUGGGUUAAUUUAAUGCCCCAAUUAAAGAAAACGUCUCUAGAAUACAGUUUUUAUGUCAGAUCUGGUAUAAAAUAUUAGAAUAGUUCGAUAACAAAAAGUAGCACACUUUAAAACUAUUGAGGAAAGGGGGAUUUUUUAUAUCAUAUUUUCUAAAAUACUGUCUCUUUGAAAUCUAGGCAAAAUUGGAAUUGGCUUUUUAUUUAUGCCAUAGU